RNAcentral lists this ribosomal RNA (372 nucleotides) under uncultured eukaryote. RNAcentral's name for it is "partial 18S ribosomal RNA". It matches the Rfam family "Eukaryotic small subunit ribosomal RNA", at positions 592 to 976 of the family's 1831-position model. The record is from RNAcentral.
CAAUAGCGUAUAUUAAAGUUGUUGCAGUUAAAAAGCUCGUAGUUGGAUUUCUGGGAGGGUGCCGCCGUCCGGCGUGUCCGUGUGCAGUGGCGCCCUUCCAUCCUUCUGUUAGCGUCUCUUGGCAUUCAUUUGCUGGUGGCGGGCUCAGAUAUUUUACCUUGAGAAAAUUAGAGUGUUUCAGGCAGGCUAGGCCGGAAUACAUUAGCAUGGAAUAAUGGAAUAGGACUACGGUCUCUUUGUUGGUUUGAGGGACUGCAGUAAUGAUUAAUAGGGAUAGUUGGGGGCAUUAGUAUUUAAUUGUCAGAGGUGGAAUUCUCAGAUUUGUUAAAGACUAACUUAUGCGAAAGCGUUUGCCAAGGAUGUUUUCAUUAA